CCUACGGGAGGCAGCAGUGAGGAAUAUUGGUCAAUGGGCGCGAGCCUGAACCAGCCACGUAGCGUGAAGGAUGACUGCCCUACGGGUUGUAAACUUCUUUUGUAAAGGAAUAAAGUGAGGCACGUGUGCCUUGUUGUCUGUACUUUAUGAAUAAGGAUCGGCUAACUCCGUGCCAGCAGCCACGGUAAUACGGAGGAUCCGAGCGUUAUCCGGAUUUAUUGGGUUUAAAGGGGGAGUAGAUGGGUUGUUAAGUCAGUUGUGAAAGUUUGCGGCUUAACCGGAAAAUUGCAAUUGAAACUGGCAGUCUUGAGUACAGUUGAGGUAGGCGGAAUUCGUGGUGUAGCGGUGAAAUGCGUAGAGAUCACGAAGAACUCCGAUUGCGAAGGCAGCCUGCUGGACUGUAACUGACGCUGAUGCUCGAAAGUGUGGGGAGCAAACAGGAUUAGAUACCCCAGUAGUC
RNAcentral lists this ribosomal RNA (460 nucleotides) under uncultured bacterium. RNAcentral describes it as "partial 16S ribosomal RNA". It matches the Rfam family "Bacterial small subunit ribosomal RNA", at positions 338 to 795 of the family's 1533-position model. The record is from RNAcentral.